Numida meleagris (helmeted guineafowl) is the source of this 2069-nucleotide long non-coding RNA. The record is from Ensembl. NCBI's taxonomy places the organism in Eukaryota, Metazoa, Chordata, Aves, Galliformes, Numididae.
CGUUUGGGUAGACAUGUGGGGCUGAGCGGGAGUUGGGGGGCAGAAAGAAGGAGGUGUGGGGCUGAGGUACUUGUGGGGCUGGGGCGUUGCUGUGGGGCUGAGCUACUUGUGGGGCUGGGGAUGGGCUUGGCGUCUGAUCUACUUGUGGGGCUGGGGGGAGAUGUGGGGCUGGGGGCGGUUGGGCGGAUCCGUGGGGCUGAGCGGGAGCUGUGGGGCAGCGGGGAGGAGGUGUGGGGCCGGGAGCGACUUGGGGGUCUGAGCGACUUGUGGGGCAGGAGGGGCCGUGGGGGCACGUGUGGGGCACGUGUGGGGCAGCAGCGGUGUCCUCGUCCCAUCCGCGCUCUGUGCCGUGUCACGCGUGUUCUGCGUCACGUGUGUUUUUGUGUCCCGUGUCAUCACGUGUUCACAUGUUGCGUCUCUAUCACGCCCAUCAUGGCUUCCCUGUCCCGUGUUUGCGUGUUACACGCGUGUUUUUGAGUCCCAUGUUGGUGUACCAUGUGUGUAUUGCAUGUCCCCGUGUCACGUGUUCACGUGCUGCGUCACGCGUGUUCUGCGUCACGCGUGUUCUGCGUCACGCGUGUUCUGCGUCACGUGUUUUUUUUGUCCCGUGUUGGUGUGUCACGUGUGUGUUGCAUGUCUGUGUCGUCACGUGUCCCCAUAUCACAUGUUCACGUGCUGCGUCACGCGUGUUCUGCAUCAGGCGUGUUCUGCGUCACGUGUCCCCGUGUUGCGUCUCUAUCACGCCCAUCACGCCUUCUCCUGUCCCGUGUUUGCGUGUUACACGCGUGUUUUUGAGUCCCGUGUUGGUGUGUCACGUGUGCGUUGCGUGUCCGUGUCGUCACGUGUCCCUGUGUCACGUGUUCAUGUGCUGCGUCACACGUGUUCUGCAUCACGCGUGUUCUGUGUCACGCGUGUUUUUGUGUCCCGUGUCGUCACGUGUCCCCGUGUUGUGUCUCUAUCACACCCAUCACGGCUUCUCGUGUCCCGUGUUUUCAUGUUACGCGCGUGUCCCUGUGUCACGUGUGUUGCUGUGUCACGUGUGCGUUGCGUGUCCGUGUCGUCACGUGUCCCCGUGUCACAUGUUCAUGUGUUGUGUCUCUAUGACGCCCAUCGUGUCUUCUCCUGUCCCGUUUUUGCGUGUUACACGCGUGUCCCUGUGUCACACGUGUUUUUGUGUCCCGUGUGUUUUUGUGUCACAUGUGCGUUGCGUGUCCGUGUCGUCACGUAUCCCCAUGUCACGUGUCCACGUGCUGCGUCUCUUGUGCCCGUCACGGCUUCUCCUGUCCUGUGUUUGCGUGUUACACGUGUGUUUUUGUGUCCCGUGUUGCUGUGUCAUGUGUGCGUGGCGUGUUUGUGUCGUCACGUGUCCCCGUGUCGUCACGUGUUCACGUGUUGCGUCUCUAUCGCGCCCAUCACGGCUUCUCCUGUCCCGUGUUUGCGUGUUACACGUGUGUCCCCAUGUCACACGCAUGUGCCCCCACGUCACGUGUCCUUGCCACGCGUCACCUGGCUGUGUUUCCCUGGGUCACGUGUUCUCGUGUAACACGUGUGUGUCCUCUGCGUGUCACUGUAGCACACACAUGUCCGUUGUUGCACGUGCGGUGUGUCCCCGUGUCACGUGUCCCCAUGUCGCGUCUCCAUCUCACGUCAUUGCGUCACGUGUGUUCUUGUCACGUGUGCCCUUGUGUCAUGUCAUUGCAUCACGUGCGUCCCCGUGUCACGUGUGUCCCCAUUCUAUCACGUGUGACCUCGUGUCACGUGUCCUUAUGUCACAUCCCCAUGUCACGCGUGUCUGUGUUGCAUCUCACUGUCACAUGUCACGUCUUCACGUCACGUGUGUCCCCGUGUCGUGUCGCUGUCACUUGUGUGUCCUCGUGUCACACGUCCCCAUGUCGUAUCGUUGCGUCACGUGUCCACAUGCCAAGUGUGUCCCCUCUACAUGCCACUGUUAUGUGUCCCCGUUGCGUGUCGCUAUCACGUGUCACGUCCUCGUGUCACACGUGUCCCCAUCUCAUGUCACUGUGUCACGCGUGUCCCCGUGUCAUGCGUCCCAUGUCAUGUCACUAUGA